Teleopsis dalmanni is the source of this 849-nucleotide long non-coding RNA. RefSeq lists it as uncharacterized. Lineage: Eukaryota; Metazoa; Arthropoda; Insecta; Diptera; Diopsidae. The record is from RefSeq and is a predicted model, not a curated record. The transcript has 4 exons.
GUUUUAAUACAUAUAUUUUCUAAAUUUCGCAAGUAUUAUGAAUUGUGGUACAUAAGCAUAAAUUUAUUUUAUUUAUUUUUCUAAAACACUUAUAAGUAAAAUGUCAAAAGUAAAAUAUGUUUUGUAUGGGAUUGCAGCGAUACACUUUGCAGUAUUGCUAAUUGAGCCAAUAUUGGACUACCAGAUAAAAAAGUUGCAAAAUAGAAUUACGGCUAGGGAACUCUUAUUAAUACAAAGAGCAAUGGCUUAUCGUUACCAGCAUGUUGCAAAUGAUCCACGAAUUGCGGUUGAAAUGAUAGAGCCACCACUACCAGAACAAUAAAAAGUUAAAAAAUUUUCGCAACCAUUGAACCAUAGAUCUAUAUGUAUAUAUGUAUUUAGUGCAUCAAGAGAGAAUUCUAACAGAGAAACAAAAGCAGCAAGCAAUAUCGGAGUGAUCCUUUAGAAACCCAUUGUUUUGUAAUGUCAUCUGAUGCUUCCUGAAGACCUUAUCACAAAUGCUUCGAGCUGUAUUUUUCGAGUUGUUGAAAACUUCCACCGUUUCAGUGUUCUAGUACUUAAACCGUACAUCGAAUAGUGCUUGAGAGUUUGUUGUUUCCCGUAUUUGUAUUAAAUAAAAUAAAAUCAAAAUGGAAUCUCGAGAAGCUUUGCUGCUCCAGUAGCUCGAAUAUCUACGAAUGUCUCGAGCUUUUCUGAAUAUUUGAAUUGUUCGAAUUCGAAAAUACUCGAUCUACUCCAGCAGUUUGGUGUUCGAACAUUUUAAAGCACAUAGUAUAUAGCCUAUAAAUACCUCGGACUUAACUCAUCUUUAUCAGUGUAAUCUAUAUCAAUAAAUUGCAGUAAUUAUAU